AACAAAGUUGCAGGUUCUCAGUCUCCUUUUCUCUUUCUUUGCCAACUCUUUUUUUUUUUUUUUCUCCUUUUCUUUUCCCUUCCUCAAUAUAAAUACCCUGGGGCAGUUUCUUUUCUUUUUGGUAUGAAUGUGAUGAUCUUUCAGGCCUGCGAUUGGCUCUGCGGCUUGUCAUCGGGGACACACCUCCUGGCGAGGGGCCACCGCCUCCCCCCUCUUGUGAAAGCUUCCCCUUGUAACAAGUGAGCGUAAUUACAUCAGUUACUCACUAGAGCACAGACCUGCUUUAAAUUUUGGCCUCUGAGCCUGUGAGAAGCUGAAGGACUAGAAAAUGCGGUUUCAAAGGCCUGUAACACUCUGGAGCGUGCAACUCAAGCUGGGCUUUUCCCUCCCAGGAAUGAAGACUCCCAGUCACAUGUGAGGAGGAAUGAAUAUCCCUACCAGCCACUGAAAUGGCUAAGAGAGCAGAACUGCUGCACCAGAAGAGGAUUUCCACUUUGCCAGAGCCUGGCCCACUGAAAAAAAAAAUGCAUAACUGAUCCCCUUUGCUUCUAGAGGUACUGGGAAGGAAGAUUGCUGAGUGAAUUGCAGGGGGUGUGGGCGAUCUCUGCAAAAGAGCAGAGCCAGCUAAAAAAAGGCAUCUGCUACCAAAAGAAAAUGUAUUUCACCCAGCAGCCAGGGCCUGCAAGAUAGGGCCAGACAUAUCAGGGGAAGAGCCCUGAAGAGCAGUAUUUAUGUGCUGGGUGCACAGGACAGUAGCAGUUUGACACCUAUCUGAUGGGUUGGAAUGGGAACUUAGAGUGCUUCUGUGGGCUUGUUCCAGAAGGGGCUGAGUGCGAGUGAAAGCAUUCUACUCAUGCUCCAGAUGGAGGGUUCUCCACUGGGUAAAUCACUGUAGCACAUAGGAAGCCAGUGCUGUCCCAGCUGAAACCCUGCUCCACACUGCCAUGGCGGAGUGUGGCCACUAAAGAGUUCUGAGUGGAGGAGAGAACUCAACUCUUGUCCCAGGACAUUUGGUCCUUGAGGAACACAGCCCUGAUGUAUGUCAAAGAUGCUACUGCUGCUUGGUGAACUGGAAGGAUGAAGAUGAGGUGCAGACCAUUUGUCUGACUAAAGCUGAGUCCUCACAUACAGGCAUUUACCUAGUGUCAGAACUGCUGCUGUUCUGACACGAGAAGAACCUGAGCCUUUUCAGACACGUCUUGCAGAAAUUAUACAAAGGAGAGAUACCUUUCUCCUCUUGCCUCUAGCUAUUAUCUAGCACAUACGUGUUUGCUGAGACCAAACAACUGAACAGAUUCAGCCCUGGUCUAGAUCAGGCAGAGCGAACCUUGCUCUCUCAUCUCACAUUGCUUUAGUGGACUGACUGGAACCUUUGUUCCAUGUCUCUGUCCUCCAGUUCUCCACCUUCCUCCAAAAUAAAAAUAACCACCUGCUUCCUACACUGCAUCUGGGCUUACCAUCGGAACUGAUGUAACCCUAUGAAAAAUGUAGGUUUUGUUGAGACAGCAUUUUCCCAUGGAAGAAGAAGAUCCUUUGUUUCUCUCAUUAGCUCUCAAAGCAACUGGCUCAAUGACAUGCUGUCUGUAUUUUUCUCCCAGGGACCUGUUCAUGGAGCUGCCAGGAAGCUUCCUAGGUCAUGGUCCAUUCAAAAGCUGCCAGGAGUUGCAGGAUGGUGCAGGUCUGAUGGUCUGAAAAUCAGCAAAGAGCACUAAUUCAUUAUGACAGCCUUGGAAAUAUGACAAAUAAUGUUAGGUGCUUUCCAUGGUACCAACAGUUCUCUAUAUCAUUUUUUGUGAGACUGGGAUUGGAGUCCCCAAAACUGAGUGUACCCUCUCUGAGAUGUGCUUCAGGGUGCCUGACAUCUCUGCAAGCCAGGACUUCCCUACCCCAUGCAUCCUAUGGACUGGAGAGCUGAGAUAGAGUGAACAAUGUUUAAGGUCUGGAUAUCUGGCACAGAGCGAGCAAGCAGAACAGUGGGAGGUUGUGGUGCCAGGGACAGGUGUAUCAGCAGGCCACAGAGCAUUUCUACAUUGCCAGAUGUUCUAUCCACCUCUGCCCUGACCUCUGGGCUGGGGUGGGAGUGUUUGCUCCCAGCUUUGCUCUGCAGGAUGUCAAAGAACAUUUACUUGCUUCCCAUGCCUGUAAACAUCUACCAAUUCACCUUUCUUAUAUAUGCUUUUCAGGUAAGAUCAAGCUUUCAUUCUUUCUAUUACUAUUCCCCCUGACGUUCUCUGCAAGCAAGCUAUUGGCAAGUGAUGAAAUUCUCUACAUACAGACUGAAAUGUAGGGACCGCAUGGACAAAAUAAUAAUGCUAGUCAUAAUAAAUAACAGCCCCAUUCGCUUUACUCUGCAGCUCGCAAAACAACAGCCCAGUUCAAAUUCUCAUCUGCUGUGAGAUAAAAAGUGUGAUUUACUCUGUCGGCUAUGGAGAGCAGACACGCACGGGGCAGUUAUCUCUGGCCAUAAACAAACUGGAGUGGCUUUGCCUUUUAACAGGCUCCCUUCUCCUCUCCUGUGGAGUGCUACUUUCCGCCUUACGUAACCCUCUGGGCAACUCCACUGACCUAUUUUGUUUUAAUAAACUUGAGCAGUUGGAGUUAUGCACCCUCCACUUCUCAGAUGCCAUUGCCACUCCACAGGGCUCCCUUUCCUGCCCUGCUCCACAAGGCUGUGUAGGUGAUGUCUUGGGAGAAGUUAAAUAAACGGCUUCCAUGUUCUGACACAGCCCGUAUGUGCCAAGCUUCCCUUUUGACUGUUAGCCUUGGAGAAGAGAAGGAAAAACCGAGUUGUCGAGGAAAAAGCAUAACCUUUCAGAAACAGUUUUUUAUUACCUUCCUUAUCGCUCCUUUAAGGUCAUAAAGAUUGUACCAAAGAAACUAUUAAGUUUUCCAGGAUUGCAAAAUAUUUUAUCGAUGAUGCACAUGAGGUAUGCUGUUCCACUUUUCAAUUUUUUUUUGGCAUUAAAUUUCCUUUUAUGUUCAGGGAUUUGAUCUUAAUGUUCCCUCCGUACCUUUCUGUUUCCAUCCUGCUUGGAGGCAGUCAGACAUGGUUAAUGGUUUCUUCUAGCCAGGAGCCUAGAGUGAGCUGCAAAUAGAAGACCUUGCAGGCAUUAAAAAACAAACCAACAGUGAACAUGGGAUCUAGAACUGUGGGCACCAUGAUUUCUUGAGAGGCCGAGCAGCUGGCAUUGCCUCCCUCGUGGGUCUUAAUGUGGGAAUUGACUUCAGGAGAGCAGUGACUGGCUGUUUUUUCAGCACUGGUUUUCUGUAGUACCUCAUCUGCUUAAGUUCAUUUAGGAUAUAUUCUUCCACCAAAAAAUAUAACUAAAAUUUAUUCUUUUGCUGAAAAACAUCUGUGAAAACCUAACACUGUAAUACUUCUAAUGGUUUAAUGCUGGGGUCUGCGCUGAGAUGGCCGCAUACUGUUGUAUCCACCAGGUUAUCCUGGGAAACAGCUAGGGUUCAAAUGCAGCAGGAGGCCAUCUGAGAUUCUCUUCCCCACAUGCUACAGUGGAGGAGCAGAUUAGUGUCCUGCUCAUAAUGAGUCCCUUACAAAUCCCAUUCUGGAAAAGGAUAUCCAGAGCUUUGGGAGAAACUCUGCAAAGAGUCUCAUGAGAGGCCCAAUUCUUCACACUGGGAAGUGUUGUGGGUGGACUGCAAAGCUCUACUGAAUAUUGAGUUAAUCCAAGAUUUACAUGCCAUAAGCCUGCAGAAAUUGGGCUGUGGUGGGCUUUAGCUAAAGCAGUGUUAGCUAACCUCUUAAGAAACCCAGUUUUUCUCUCCCGUGCAGUCUUUCCACUGGGUCUUGUUUUCCAGGUCCUGAUCUUCAGCUGGCAGAACACAGCUUCAUCCCAUUGAAAAGCCAGUGAAGCAGAUAGGAAGAUCUUACCCCAACACAAUUCUGCUUCCUGAUUACAUGCAUGUUUCCACCAGGCAAGACAAUAAACCAAGCACUAGCAAUGGAAGAGUAGCAGACAGGUGACUGGCACAAAGAUCCUCCAUUCAUGUCUCCUGUAGCAUUUACUAUAAACAGAGGCCAGAGCAAGGAGAUGAGACUCUUUGGUGAAGUGAUGUUGGCAUGAAGAAGAGGGGAGUCUUAAGUCAAGCUGAGUUGCAGGGGAAAGCUUUUAUCACGGAAGUGCCAAGUAUAAAUCACUAUAAGAGAUUCCUCAGUCAAGACACUUUGGAAACAGGACAGUAAUGCCAACUGAAAAUAUAACAGAGCAAUAUUAUGACCAUGCAGAUCAUGAUGUGCCAACCUUUUCAUAGUGUCCCACAUGGAGAAGCUUCCCUUUUCCUACAGGAUUGGACCUCCUGCCUGGGGUGGGGAGAGUGGUUGGGAGCAUGGGAUCUGUGAGUGCAGGUGCCUCGCCAAUCUGUGCAGGUAUCUCAGCGUCGAUUUAGGCUAUGCUGAUAUUUUCCAGGUUCUUUCUCCUGUAACACAACAGUAUGGAAAGACUUCCCCCGUGACUGUAACACGAAAAACAGAUGAAGGAGGGAACUGCUGGGGGAGCUUAUAAUUCCCAACUGGAAACAUAGUCUCUUGGAUAGUGCCUUGUGAUGCUGAAGGCACCCCCAGUCUCUUAACGGCAGCUUAAAGAAGUCUGAUCCCUGGGCAGGAAGAAAAUGAAAAUUAAAUGUGAAGCAACAGCAAUCUGUAUCGGGGAAUGAAUUUUGGUAUAUUUGAUAAAGAGCUUCUUUUUGUUUUGUUUGAAGUAUCGAAUAACACGUGCUUCCUGCCAGAGCAUUUCACAAAGUUGAACCAAACCACUGCCUAAGCAUCUGGAACUAAAGCUUGGAUGGAUGAGGUUUUAUGCACCUGGAGUUUCACUUCUAGCUCUGUGAAAUUGAAGCUAAACCUCCCUGGACUCAGAGCUCUUUCCCAUCGGUCUGCCAGGA
This is a long non-coding RNA of Centrocercus urophasianus (Greater sage-grouse), 4899 nucleotides long. RefSeq lists it as uncharacterized. The transcript is spliced from 3 exons. NCBI's taxonomy places the organism in Eukaryota, Metazoa, Chordata, Aves, Galliformes, Phasianidae. The record is from RefSeq and is a predicted model, not a curated record.